Molecule: ribosomal RNA, 441 nt
Filed under: uncultured bacterium
Lineage: Bacteria
Description: partial 16S ribosomal RNA
Rfam family: Bacterial small subunit ribosomal RNA
Source: RNAcentral
CCUACGGGUGGCAGCAGUGGGGAAUAUUGCACAAUGGGCGAAAGCCUGAUGCAGCAAAGCCGCGUGAAGGAAGACGGUUUUCGGAUCGUAAACUUCUGUUCUUAGUGAAGAAUAAUGACGGUAACUAAGGAGCAAGCCACGGCUAACUACGUGCCAGCAGCCGCGGUAAUACGUAAGUGGCAAGCGUUGUCCGGAAUUACUGGGUGGAAAGGGAGCGUAGGGGGGAAGCCAAGUCGGCUGUGGAAACUACGGGCUUAACCUGUAGACUGCAGUUGAAACUGGCUUUCUUGAGUGAAGUAGAGGUUGGCGGAAUUCCGAGUGUAGCGGUUAAAUGCGUAGAUAUUCGGAGGAACACCGGUGGCGAAGGCGGCCGACUGGGCUUUAACUGACGCGGAGGCUCGAAAGUGUGGGGAGCAAACAGGAUUAGAUACCCGUGUAGUC